GACGAACGCUGGCGGCGCGCUUAACACAUGCAAGUCGAGCGAUGAAACUCUAAGAGAACCCUUCGGGGCGAAGAUAAAAUUGAUUAGCGGCGGACGGGUGAGUAACACGUGAGUAACCUGCCCUAGACAUUGGGAUAGCCUCGGGAAACCGGGAUUAAUACCAAAUAAAAUCAUAAUGACUCAUGUCAUCACGAACAAACCUCCGGUGGUCUAAGAUGGACUCGCGUCCCAUUAGCUAGGUGGUAGAGUAAAUGCCUACCAAGGCGACGAUGGGUAGCCGGCCUGAGAGGGUGAACGGCCACAUUGGAACUGAGAAACGGUCCAAACUCCUACGGGAGGCAGCAGUGGGGAAUAUUGCACAAUGGAGGGAACGCUGAUGCAGCGACGCCGCGUGAACGAAGAAGGCUUUCGAGUCGUAAAGUUCUUUUAUAUGGGAAGAUAAUGACGGUACCAUAAGAAAAAGCCCCGGCUAACUACGUG
RNAcentral lists this ribosomal RNA (480 nucleotides) under uncultured bacterium. RNAcentral's name for it is "partial 16S ribosomal RNA". It matches the Rfam family "Bacterial small subunit ribosomal RNA", at positions 28 to 507 of the family's 1533-position model. The record is from RNAcentral.